Molecule: long non-coding RNA, 583 nt
Organism: Spinacia oleracea (spinach)
Lineage: Eukaryota; Viridiplantae; Streptophyta; Magnoliopsida; Caryophyllales; Amaranthaceae
Exons: 3
Source: RefSeq, a predicted model, not a curated record
AAAAAAAACCUAGCCGUGUAUACAAUGAUCUCUCAAUGAAAAUCAUGCCUCCGUACUGCUAUCAGCCUGUCACCAUUCUUAUCAUCCCUCCAUCAAUAUUAGAAAAGUGUUAGGCUUCAAAAUCACCAUUACCCUUCUCCUUCGGAUGUUGGAUCCUAUACCAUCAUAAAUGUCGAUUGAUUGUUGCUCUGCUAUCUCUACUCACUACAAUUAGGCGAACCCUCCUUCCUCCUCGUCGUGGAUGAUGGAUACUGAUAAAGGAUGUUACUAUACACUUUCGGGUAUUGAUGUGCUCAAGGUUGGUAAAGGUACUUGGCUACGAGUGAGGAGACGCUUAGAAUAACCACCUAGUCAAGAGACAAUUUCUUUUCCAUUUCAAGUUGGAUUUUGAUAUUUAUUUUAUGGGGAUUAAUUGGUUGUAAUAUUUUAUUGGCCACCUUUAGACCACUUAGUUAAUUUUGAAUUUAAUGGCUUUAAAUUGUUUUGUUGCUUUGCAUUUAUUUUCUAAGGAGAAUAAAUGUAGCAGUGACACUCCCAAGAUUUGGACGAUGAAUUUAUUAAAUAAAAACAGGGUUUUUGAUUA